UACGGAAGGCAGCAGUGGGGAAUAUUGCACAAUGGGCGCAAGCCUGAUGCAGCCAUGCCGCGUGUAUGAAGAAGGCCUUCGGGUUGUAAAGUACUUUCAGUCGUGAGGAAGGUGUUAAGGUUAAUAACCUUAGCAAUUGACGUUAGCGACAGAAGAAGCACCGGCUAACUCCGUGCCAGCAGCCGCGGUAAUACGGAGGGUGCGAGCGUUAAUCGGAAUUACUGGGCGUAAAGGGCACGCAGGCGGUUAAUUAAGUUGGAUGUGAAAUCCCCGGGCUUAACCUGGGAAUGGCAUUCAAGACUGGUUAGCUAGAGUCUUGUAGAGGGGGUAGAAUUCCAUGUGUAGCGGUGAAAUGCGUAGAGAUGUGGAGGAAUACCGGUGGCGAAGGCGGCCCCUGGACAAAGGCUGACGCUCAUGUGCGAAAGCGUGGGGAGCAAACGAGGGAUUAGAUA
This 452-nucleotide ribosomal RNA is filed under the name uncultured bacterium. Its description in RNAcentral is "bacterial SSU rRNA". It matches the Rfam family "Bacterial small subunit ribosomal RNA", at positions 340 to 784 of the family's 1533-position model. The record is from RNAcentral.